Non-coding RNA from Rattus norvegicus (Norway rat), 69 nucleotides. The record is from Rfam. Lineage: Eukaryota; Metazoa; Chordata; Mammalia; Rodentia; Muridae.
GGGGAUUUGGCUCAGUGGUAGAGCGCUUGCCUAGCAAUCGAAAGGCCCUGGGUUCGGUCCCCAGCUCCA